AAGCGUAUCCCCGGAGUCGGGGCUCUCCCGGUUUGGCGCGAAACCGGAUCUGACGUUACCAUAGGGAGGUACUCCCUGCCCCUAGACAGGUACUGUUGUAGCUAGGGAAAGAUCCGACGAUUCCUCGGCCUUGUCCCCAGCCUUUACUUGCCUAUGUUCUACUCGGUACCCUCACCUGUACCUCACCGCAGUCGCCGGCUUUGUUUGAGUUAUGCCUUCUUUGCGCGGUGUAGCGAUAGGCGACAGCCAGGUUAAAUUCAUGUGCAGGAGUCGCCUUCACUUGAAAACAUCCGUCGAGACCUGCACAUUUAGUUUUGGUGGUUUUGACGCUGUGCGAAUGGCUGAGGCCGUCUCUGCGAUGCACUCUCAGCGCGUAGACUGUCGUUUUGUACGUUGGUGGUAACGACGUUUGCAGUGCCAACGCGGACCCUCAAGAUAUAUGCGACAAUAUAGGGAAGUUAGUUCUGCAACUGCAGCACGAUGUGGCCCCCGUGGUGUAUACGUCUUCAAAGUGCUGCCACGUUGCUCCAGCUCUGAAGACGCCGAUGCAGAGCGCCAGAUCAAGAAAACGCGCUUGCUGAACCGCAAGCUGACGGCUACGCUGAAACGCCUGCCGUGUGUUCGAAUCUUGAACGCCGAGCAUCGGUUUCUCAAUUCCUCGAAAGAGCCACGACGUGCGUUCUUAGCAAUUGAUGGGUACCAUGUGCACAGAGGCCAAGGGAUCGAUCAGCUGGCCAAAAUCAUCGUCAGUUCUCUUGCCCGUGACUUCGGACCUGGAGUGAAGUCACAUGCACACAGCGAGCUGGGUAUCUGCUACAGGCUGCUGAAGUGCAGCCACUGCAACACAAAAGGCCACGAAGUCCUGCGAGUGCAGCAAAUUCCUUCGCCUACCUUCCCAACAUGAACCAAGACUGCUUUAGAUCAUCUUAUGUGUAAAGCAGCACACAAAAACAAGACAUGAAAGGAGGAAUACAAUUGAACAGGCCAACCACUGCACUUGCAAUUAGCUUAUUUUGAAGGGAAAAAAAGGAGGGGGUAAUACACAUAUGCACAAGUGCACAACAUUCAAAUUUUUUUUAAGCACCGUUAUGAGCAAAAGUCAUUGUUGCAUGUGGUGCACUUGUGGGUAUGUACUAUAUACAUAUUUUUUAAAAGAAUAAACUAGUGGCAAGUGCAACAGUUGUCCUGUUGAAUCAUAUUAAUCCUCUUGUGUCUUUUUUUCUGUGCGCUGCUUUACAUGUUCAGAUGCUCUGUCACCAAUUCACCCGACUUUCAACCUUACUGAAACUUGGCAAAUGCUGCCUGCCAUGAAACGGCCCUUUUCAGGGCCACCCAUGUGUUGUCCGGCUGGUUGCGAAUGCUCCCAACUGUUACCCAGAUAGCCUCCUUGAAACUUGAGAGGAGUUGUGCGGCGCAUGUUGACUCUGCUGGCUGUAUAUUACUUUUGUAUAAUUAAGAUUGUGCCACAGGGUCUUUCAAUUGAAAGUAAUACAUAUAGCAUGACCUUGCAUUAAUUAUCUUUCAUAAAUGCUAAUCACUACUCGAACAAAUCGAGAACGUUUCUGUAUUGCAGCAAAUAAAUGUAGAAAUUGCAUAUGUCAUCACACCUUUAUUGCCCAAAAAAUUGCAUUUAUUGCACAUUCAUCAAGCAAGUGACCUAUGCAGGACACUAUCUCUGCAAGCUCAGAUGUGCACGCGCAGGCCUUGCAUUUAUGGCUUUGCUAUCUCGGCAGCCCUCUGUUCUAUUGCUACCUGUGAAUGUGCCAAGCAGAUUGGUCUGAACGGCAUCACAAGUAGCUAAACACAUUUUAGAGCGCAAUGAACUGGGCUAGUUGGUACUACUUCAUUAUGUCACAGUGCGAGGAAAGAAGCCAAGGCACACAGUGCUGUGUCCCAGCUUUUUCCUCGUUCUGGGAGCACUGGAACAAUGAACAUUUGAGAACAUUCACUUGGAGCUCCUACCAUCACAUUUGGCUACAUGCUCCAAGCCCAGCUCGUCCAGACAUGAUUCAAGGCAUCACAGUUGUGUUCGCAUACAUCAUCUGUGUAGAGAACAAGUUAUUUUGAAUUGAAAAAUGGCCAUCCACCUGUUUUGUACAAGGCUACCAGGAAAUCCAUACUGAUUUCUCAGAAAGGAAGACAAAAAAUUCGUACUGUUCCUGGGCUCAAGCCUGGAACCAACACCUUUCCAGGGCUGUUUCUCUACAACUGAGAUAGCCAGUAGGCUAGCAAUGGGCAGUGUAAGGGCCAAUUAGUUGAAAAGUCAAAGCACACAGAAUGUGGCAAAUGGGUCCUGUGGAAACGUGCAGCAGCUUUUAGCAGAAGAUUCUGCGUUAAUAUCUAUUUAUGAAAAUCAAACUUGAAAGAAAAAACAUUACUUGCAGCUGGUUAUAAGCUACUUAUACCUACUGUGCUUUCCACAGAACUCAUUUGUCAUAUUCAGUGUCCAUGCGCUUCAAACUGAAUUUGCCCUCGCACUUUGAUUACUAGCAUACUGGUUAGCUUAAAUGGUAGAGCGACCACCCCGAAAAAAAGUCGUUCUCGAGUUCAAACUGUGGACCAUGUCAAAUUUUUCGCCAACUAAAAUGCUGUUCUUUAUGAGAAAUCCAUAUGAAUUUUCUCGUAGCUUUGUGCAACAAAUGGGAGUGGAUGGCCAUUUUUACAUUCAUAACCCUUUCUAUGUUGUGCAAAACUCCGCUGUUAUAAACGAGUCAUUUUCUAGCAGCCAACAGCACAUCAUAGUGUUUGUAGAUCUGGAGUGCUUCCCAAUACGGACCACUGAGAAUGGCACAGUUGCAUUGUGGGGCAAAAGUAUAUGGACAGUUUGUGCCACUGAGCAAGCUUAUGUUAUGAGGCCCAGCAGCACAUAGUGCUGGCAUUGUUGACAUAGUUCCUUGAAAGGCAGUGGGGGUUAACAUAGGCUGAAGUUGAGGCAUCUCCGUUGUAGUGCAGACAAAACGGGUGCGGAUAGUUCGUUCAUGCUACUGAGAGAAAGUAACGGAAGACAUGGCAGCAACACACAAUGCCGUUUAUGAGUUUGCAAGGCAGGCCAACUGCACCAAGGCGGAUGAACUGCAAACAAGAGAGCCACAUGGUGUUUCUAAGUGUCAGGCUGUACGUCACGAAAAUUUAGCUCAAGAAAGUGAGCCCAUAGUGUGCACUAUAGGUGACCGCAUCUGUUUGUAUAUAACAUGGCAAAUAAGCUGAUUGGUACAAACUGAGUGAGAAGAGUUUAGCAAGAGUUUCAUGCCACGUCUUGAAUGUGCUUGAAAAAGUGCGUGAGCCAACAUGUUAAUAGGCUGCUAUCGAACAAUGUAUCUAGUUUUUCUUUUCUAGUAAGACCUGUAUAUCCGAAAGUUGGCCUCCCAGACAAAUAUGUAUUAUGGGUGUCAUACUGUCAAUUUUGAUCACGAUGGGACCUGACUGGGUAGAAUUUCUCUACUGUGAUUAUUUACUGUAUGCAAGUUGCAGAAACGAGUCAAUCACUGUUGAGAAAUUUGACCCUGAUUGGGCUUAAUUGCGAUCAGCAGUGCACCAUGUGACAACGGUAUCAUCCGAGUUAGUUUCUAAGUAUGGUCUACAUCCAAGCCGUGGAUGGAUCAACCUGUAAACCUAAAGCGGCGGCACUUACGACUGCAGUUUCGCAAAGUCGUACUCUGUCUUGCUGCAGCUUUUAGCACACCAUUCUUUCUAUAACUGUUUGAGACGCUUUGUAUACAACUGUCUACAUCACAUGUUUUUGCUAGUCGUGUUGACUAGUGGCUAAGAAAGAACAAGAUACAUUUAAGAGUGGAUAAAUUGAACCUCCUGUGUAAUAGAUCUGUUUUCAACUUCAUUUUGCAGUGUACUGUUAAAUAUAGUCAAUUAGCAGAAGGCACUACCAUGUUUGAUGUUCCGCUUUUUCCAAGUCACCUAAAAAGUAUAAUUUAUCUUUGCUCGAAAUGAUCAUAACCAAAAAAAGAAAAAUUAGUACUGUAUUUCUAGCCUGAGAUUUCAUUCUAUUUUUGCAAAAAGCAGAACAUGAAUGACUUCAGGUUCAAUGCAAUUGCAGUUUAAUCAAGAUUAGUUACUAUAAAGCACAUACAUGACAAUAUUUUUGUUGCAACGUCGAGUCCCUUGAGAUAAUGUGCAACUCUGACGAAUUACAGGCAGUUCUUCAUAGAUCGCGUCUGAAAGGGUUUAAUGUAGUCGAAUGAAAGCUCGCACUUGAAUCGAAAGUUCAACCCGACUUGCAGCUCAGUGGUAGCAAGUUCUACUGUGCGUUUAGUUCUGAUUUUUUUCUUUUUUUUUUUUGCAC
Molecule: long non-coding RNA, 4297 nt
Organism: Rhipicephalus sanguineus (brown dog tick)
Lineage: Eukaryota; Metazoa; Arthropoda; Arachnida; Ixodida; Ixodidae
Exons: 3
Source: RefSeq, a predicted model, not a curated record